CAUGUCUACUGUUUUUCUUUUCACAGGUUAUGCCCAGCGCAAGUGUCAUCAUAAAAAUGGAGUCUGCGUGAAUCCUCCCUGUCACAAAUCCGCCCCCAUCAACAUUGGGAAAGAGGACUGUAAAGACAGAGCAACAUGCUGUCGACCCCGCAGUGGAAAAUGAUACCAUCUCCAUCUACCAUCCUGGACGUUUUCAAGAUAUGGCUGAUGACCUAAGAUUACCGCCUCCUAUCAUUUUAUCUUUCUUUACAUGAAUCAAAUUGCUAUCUAUGAAAAAAAUAUGCAUUGAAGUAACAUUUGGUAAAUAUUCCUUGAAAUAAAGCUAAAUGAGCAUUGCAGAUAUUGUGCAA
This is a long non-coding RNA of Thamnophis elegans (Western terrestrial garter snake), 350 nucleotides long. RefSeq lists it as uncharacterized. NCBI's taxonomy places the organism in Eukaryota, Metazoa, Chordata, Lepidosauria, Squamata, Natricidae. The transcript is spliced from 2 exons. The record is from RefSeq and is a predicted model, not a curated record.